Molecule: non-coding RNA, 27 nt
Filed under: Rattus norvegicus (Norway rat)
Lineage: Eukaryota; Metazoa; Chordata; Mammalia; Rodentia; Muridae
Source: RNAcentral
UUCCCAGCAACUACAUGGUGGCUCAAA